RNAcentral lists this unclassified non-coding RNA (646 nucleotides) under Hevea brasiliensis (rubber tree). The record is from RNAcentral. Lineage: Eukaryota; Viridiplantae; Streptophyta; Magnoliopsida; Malpighiales; Euphorbiaceae.
UGCCAAUCAUUCUCCCUAUUUUCAGUUCUUGAAACACACAAUGGGUAGGAAAAAAUUCAAUUUUUCAAUUAAGGAUUUUAGUAAUGGAGCAAAUAGAUAAGAGGUUAAUAGAAAAACUGGACACAUUGCAAAACUGAAGCAAGAUUUAUAGUAGGAGUGCAUUCAAUAGAACUUGUUCUAGAGAUAUUGACCGAGUAUCUGUCCGCUAUGAGGACUUCUUCUUUUUCUGAACAUGGAAAAUAGGUUGUAAAUUUAUUUGAAGAGCCUGUCAUGGGCUUGUUUGUCUUAGAAUCUAUAACCCAAGGAGAUUUUUCAAGAUUAGUGAGAAAAACAUUACCUGAUUUAACAAAAUUAGAAGAGGUUCCAGCUGUGACAGCAAAUGCCUUAGGGAUUGUACUUCUUCACUGGAGAGGAUUCUAGUGGUGGCAGUAGGAGCAAGGUCUUCAGAAAAUCUUACUGUUUCAGAUACAUUUGCUUGUGGUCUUGUUGAGCCUGUCCGAUUCCUCCACGCCCUUUGGAUGGGCAACCAUGUAACUUCUAGCAAUGUUCCUUUGUAUACCGGGAUUCCCCACAAUAAUCACAAUGUAGAUGAUUCUUAUUUGAUGGAUCAUUAUGUGACUGUUCAUGGGAGGAAGCAGCUACAAAC